UGGGGAAUAUUGGACAAUGGGCGAAAGCCUGAUCCAGCCAUGCCGCGUGUGUGAAGAAGGUCUUCGGAUUGUAAAGCACUUUAAGUUGGGAGGAAGGGCAUUAACCUAAUACGUUAGUGUUUUGACGUUACCGACAGAAUAAGCACCGGCUAACUCUGUGCCAGCAGCCGCGGUAAUACAGAGGGUGCAAGCGUUAAUCGGAAUUACUGGGCGUAAAGCGCGCGUAGGUGGUUUGUUAAGUUGGAUGUGAAAUCCCCGGGCUCAACCUGGGAACUGCAUUCAAAACUGACUGACUAGAGUAUGGUAGAGGGUGGUGGAAUUUCCUGUGUAGCGGUGAAAUGCGUAGAUAUAGGAAGGAACACCAGGGGCGAAGGCGACCACCUGGACUAAUACUGACACUGAGGUGCGAAAGCGGGGGGAGCAAACA
Molecule: ribosomal RNA, 427 nt
Filed under: uncultured bacterium
Lineage: Bacteria
Description: partial 16S ribosomal RNA
Rfam family: Bacterial small subunit ribosomal RNA
Source: RNAcentral